Non-coding RNA from Homo sapiens (human), 147 nucleotides. It matches the Rfam family "Metazoan signal recognition particle RNA". From Rfam's summary of the family: The signal recognition particle (SRP) is a universally conserved ribonucleoprotein. It is involved in the co-translational targeting of proteins to membranes. The record is from Rfam. Lineage: Eukaryota; Metazoa; Chordata; Mammalia; Primates; Hominidae.
GCCAGGCAUGGUGGCGCAUGCCUGUGAUCCUAGCUACUUGGGAGGCUGCGGCCAGAGGAUCACUUGAGCUCAGGAAGUUGAGACUGCAGUGAGCCGCAUCAUGCCACUGCACUCCAGCCUGAGUGACAAAGUGAGACUUUGUCUCAG